RNAcentral lists this ribosomal RNA (253 nucleotides) under uncultured bacterium. RNAcentral's name for it is "partial 16S ribosomal RNA". It matches the Rfam family "Bacterial small subunit ribosomal RNA", at positions 524 to 776 of the family's 1533-position model. The record is from RNAcentral.
UACGGAGGGGGCUAGCGUUGUCCGGAAUUAUUGGGCGUAAAGAGCUCGUAGGCGGUUUGUCGCGUCGGCUGUGAAAACCCGGGGCUCAACCCCGGGCCUGCAUUCGAUACGGGUAGACUAGAGUUCGGUAGGGGAGUCUGGAAUUCCUGGUGUAGCGGUGAAAUGCGCAGAUAUCAGGAGGAACACCGGUGGCGAAGGCGGGACUCUGGGCCGAUACUGACGCUGAGGAGCGAAAGCGUGGGGAGCAAACAGG